ACGAACGCUGGCGGCGUGCUUAACACAUGCAAGUCGAACGGAAAGGCCCUGCUUUUGUUGGGUGCUCGAGUGGCGAACGGGGGAGUAACACGUGAGUAACCUGCCCUUGACUUUGGGAUAACUUCAGGAAACUGGGGCUAAUACCGGAUAGUAGCUCCUGCUGCAUGGUGGGGGUUGGAAAGUUUCGGCGGUUGGGGUUGGACGCGCGGCUUAUCAGCUUGUUGGUGGGGUAGGGGCUUACCAAGGCUUUGACGGGUAGCCGGCCUGAGAGGGUGACCGGCCACAUUGGGACUGAGGUACGGCCCAGACUCCUACGGGAGGCAGCAGUGGGGGAUAUUGCACAAUGGGCGGAAGCCUGAUGCAGCAACGCCGCGUGCGGGAUGACGGCCUUCGGGUUGUAAACCGCUUUCGCCUGUGACGAAGCGUGAGUGACGGUAAUGGGUAAAGAAGCACCGGCUAACUACGUG
Molecule: ribosomal RNA, 467 nt
Filed under: uncultured bacterium
Lineage: Bacteria
Description: partial 16S ribosomal RNA
Rfam family: Bacterial small subunit ribosomal RNA
Source: RNAcentral